GGCGGCGCCCUGUGCCCAGGGCGCGUCCGGCCGCUCCUCGCCGCGGGCCGCCCGGGGACGUGUGGGCGCCGAGGGCGCUUGGGCUCUGAGCACUGCGGGGCUGCGGGCUCGGCGCCCCGGGGAGGCGGGCGCGUGGCCGCCAGAGCGAGUGCCCCAGCCAGCUGCGAUCGCGGGAGACCGUCCGUUUCCCCGGAGGGAGUCGCGAAUUCAGGCCCCGGGAAGUGGGCGAGGACAGGAUUUGGGGUGCGCACUGACUCUCCUUGGAGGAGACGUUUACCCAGCGGCAGCUCGGUCUCGUUUCGCUACCACGCCAGGCUUCCGGUCAGAGGAGGGUUUUCUCCGUCUCUUGGUGAACUUGAACGGAGGCUCGGCAACGGCGAAACGUACGUAUUUUGUCCAGAAGAUUACCCCAAGAAGAGCUUUGUAUCUUUCUAAGUGUAGAUGGAGACUCAAGACUAGAGGCUGCUAAUUGCUUUUAUUUCCGUUUCUCCUGAGAAGCCUCCUGGGGAUCCGUGCCCCAGGGUAACCUCCAGGGUGUCUGUUUUCCUGAGCAUCUGUGCCCAGGAUUGCUGCCUGCUCCAUGCUGGCUCGCCCAUGGGGAGGCAGGGUUGGAGAGGGAGCCCUCUGACCCUUCUCUGAG
This 640-nucleotide long non-coding RNA is filed under the name Sus scrofa (pig). Its description in RNAcentral is "lncRNA (ENSSSCG00070018404.1)". The record is from RNAcentral. Lineage: Eukaryota; Metazoa; Chordata; Mammalia; Artiodactyla; Suidae.